Molecule: long non-coding RNA, 1689 nt
Organism: Pipra filicauda (Wire-tailed manakin)
Lineage: Eukaryota; Metazoa; Chordata; Aves; Passeriformes; Pipridae
Exons: 6
Source: RefSeq, a predicted model, not a curated record
CGAUACAGACACACGCCCCCCCCCCCCCAGCCUUUCGUGUGGGCUCGGCGGGCGGGGCGCGAGCGUGCGUGGGAGCAGGGGGGAAAAUCUUUCCAGUGCUACCCCCUCCCUUCCCCCCUGGCAGAAUAGGGAGGGAGGGCGGACCUCGGUAAUUCGGCGAUCGGCCGCGCGGGCUGGGGGCGAGGCUGCGGAAUCCCGAGCCGCGGAUGGCGCGUCGGGGCGGGGGAGGCAGCGCUGCCGGGACACGACGGGGUUAAGCUGGGUCGGCCGCCAUUUUGGAUGGCGGGGAGAGAGAACCAUGCUUUGAAUUAGGAAGAGCUUGUGCAAACAGAAGACAGCAGAACUGAGAUGAGAACAGUCACUACCUAACUUAGAGCCAGUUUCUUGUUCAUAUGAGGUCUCCUAGUGGAAGCAUGUGAGAAAAAAGAGAAAUCGGAACUGAAACCAUGUUUUUGGUGGGGUGAUAGCACUGCAUGAUAGUCAGAGCUGAUAACUGAGCUGAUGCAAAAUGCCUUGAAAGCCUGCUAAAUCCAGCUUGCACUAAGGGCCCAGUUUGGCUUUGCCUUCAUGGACAGCAGCAACCAUCACCUGUCUGCCACGGCAAUAGAUGCCUCUGCUUGCUCCAGAUGUCCUUCUCCUGCAGACCAGAGAACACCUCUUGCUAAAAGGAUCGUUGAAACAGAAGAAUAGAAAUAAUCACUGGACCAUUUAAUGUAACCUUGUGCAUCACGUGGUGCAGGAGUUACUUAAUGAAAUUCCCUGGCCCAAACCAAGCAAAUCUGUGGUAAAUCUAGAGCACAUAUUUUCGGAUGACAGCCAAAAUGAUGAAAGGAAUUUACUACCCAGCCUCGCUAAUCAUUUUGAAUGCUUAACUGGGCUCCCUAAUAUGCUGCUUUGCAAGCAGCAAAACUCCCUACACAUUUCUCCAGCCUUGCCCAGGCUGUGCACCUGAAAAAACCUCCCAGCACCCUGCCAGCCCUGUCCAAGGGCAGGGUGGCCAACUGUGCCUGCUGUGAGUGCUGGAUGGCCAGCUGCCCUCCUCUGGGAAGAGACCUCUGCAGGGCAGAACCUCUGCUGCCUCUCCCUUCAAAGCAUGCCGGUUUGGGACUUGCUCUUUGCUCAGCUUAUUUAAAAAUCUAAAGAAAAGAGUUCUGCCCCAUCAGCUUUGGAAAUAGUUGUUUAACAUGGGAGAGAACAAGCUGAGCCUGCGUAACCCAAGACAACCAAUUCCUUUAGCAGAAAGUGUCUUCUGUCAUCAAAAAGAGCCAUCUGGAAGAGCGUUGGCUCCGUGCCAGGAACAACCCUUUAGCAACUGCUCAACAUACACUUUAAGUUAUAAUGUUCAUAACGGCACAACCUGGAGUGUUGGUAAAGGGCCUAUUGGAGGAGCAACAUAUUCCUCCUCCCGCAGUAACCGCAAAAGGAUGUUCUUCUUAUUCUUUGGCCAGUUAUAAAUGUGGGUGUUCUGCAGCCAGGUAGGCACAUGUUCCUGAAAAAACAAGGAAAAUAAACACUAAAUCCUGUAAAUCCUCCUGAAUCUGUACCAGAACCUUGCAGAUUCUGUCAGGCCCUGCCAAGCAAGAUUUCAUUUUGUCUGUUCUAGGCACCUCCUGUAACAACAAGAAACUUUAAUUUGGCUUCAGAAUUGUAUUUGGGUUCCUAAAUAAAUGAACUUUGUGUGAUCUCACA